This 426-nucleotide ribosomal RNA is filed under the name uncultured bacterium. Its description in RNAcentral is "partial 16S ribosomal RNA". It matches the Rfam family "Bacterial small subunit ribosomal RNA", at positions 354 to 796 of the family's 1533-position model. The record is from RNAcentral.
GUGAGGAAUUUUCCGCAAUGGGCGAAAGCCUGACGGAGCAAUGCCGCGUGAAGGAUGAAGGCCUAUGGGUUGUAAACUUCUUUUCUCAGAAAAGAAUUAUGACGGUAUCUGAGGAAUAAGCAUCGGCUAACUCUGUGCCAGCAGCCGCGGUAAGACAGAGGAUGCAAGCGUUAUCCGGAAUGAUUGGGCGUAAAGCGUCUGUAGGUUGUUUAAAAAGUAUUCUGUCAAAGAUUAGGGCUUAACCCUAGAUAGGCAGAAUAAACUUUUAAGCUAGAGUUUGGUAGAGGCAGAGGGAAUUCCCGGUGGAGCGGUGAAAUGCUUAGAUAUCGGGAGGAACACCAAAGGCGAAGGCACUCUGCUGGGCCAAUACUAACACUGAGAGACGAAAGCGAGGGGAGCAAAUGGGAUUAGAAACCCUAGUAGUCC